CGCGUAGGUGGUUUGUUAAGUUGGAUGUGAAAGCCCCGGGCUCAACCUGGGAACUGCAUCCAAAACUGGCAAGCUAGAGUACGGUAGAGGGUGGUGGAAUUUCCUGUGUAGCGGUGAAAUGCGUAGAUAUAGGAAGGAACACCAGUGGCGAAGGCGACCACCUGAACUGAUACUGACACUGAGGUGCGAAAGCGUGGGGAGCAAACA
RNAcentral lists this ribosomal RNA (207 nucleotides) under uncultured bacterium. Its description in RNAcentral is "partial 16S ribosomal RNA". It matches the Rfam family "Bacterial small subunit ribosomal RNA", at positions 568 to 774 of the family's 1533-position model. The record is from RNAcentral.